AUUUGGGACAACUAAAUCUUUCCCAGACUUUGCUGGCAGACUCUCCUACUUGCAAGUCUGCUGGAUUUUGCCUAAUUGAUGAACAUAUGGAACUAAAUACAGGUGCACACUCAAAAGAGCAGGAGCAGCUGGGGCAUGUCAAAGUCAAAGGCUCACAACCCCGAAAUCUCUCUUCAUCAUCAGCUACACAUAAAAGUGCAUUUGAGGGAUCAUCAUUGACAGCUUCACUUGAUUUAUUUUGGAACUUGGAUGAAUCUAGUCCUAAGCAAUCAGCCAGACGUGCUGGGCUAGUACCCUGAAUUGACGCACAUAGACGGGAUAUUACA
Molecule: unclassified non-coding RNA, 326 nt
Filed under: Hevea brasiliensis (rubber tree)
Lineage: Eukaryota; Viridiplantae; Streptophyta; Magnoliopsida; Malpighiales; Euphorbiaceae
Source: RNAcentral